Molecule: ribosomal RNA, 900 nt
Filed under: Bacillus sp. (in: firmicutes)
Lineage: Bacteria; Bacillati; Bacillota; Bacilli; Caryophanales; Bacillaceae
Description: bacterial SSU rRNA
Rfam family: Bacterial small subunit ribosomal RNA
Source: RNAcentral
CGAGCGGACAGAUGGGAGCUUGCUCCCUGAUGUUAGCGGCGGACGGGUGAGUAACACGUGGGUAACCUGCCUGUAAGACUGGGAUAACUCCGGGAAACCGGGGCUAAUACCGGAUGCUUGUUUGAACCGCAGGUUCAAACAUAAAAGGUGGCUUCGGCUACCACUUACAGAUGGACCCGCGGCGCAUUAGCUAGUUGGUGAGGUAAUGGCUCACCAAGGCAACGAUGCGUAGCCGACCUGAGAGGGUGAUCGGCCACACUGGGACUGAGACACGGCCCAGACUCCUACGGGAGGCAGCAGUAGGGAAUCUUCCGCAAUGGACGAAAGUCUGACGGAGCAACGCCGCGUGAGUGAUGAAGGUUUUCGGAUCGUAAAGCUCUGUUGUUAGGGAAGAACAAGUACCGUUCGAAUAGGGCGGUACCUUGACGGUACCUAACCAGAAAGCCACGGCUAACUACGUGCCAGCAGCCGCGGUAAUACGUAGGUGGCAAGCGUUGUCCGGAAUUAUUGGGCGUAAAGGGCUCGCAGGCGGUUUCUUAAGUCUGAUGUGAAAGCCCCCGGCUCAACCGGGGAGGGUCAUUGGAAACUGGGGAACUUGAGUGCAGAAGAGGAGAGUGGAAUUCCACGUGUAGCGGUGAAAUGCGUAGAGAUGUGGAGGAACACCAGUGGCGAAGGCGACUCUCUGGUCUGUAACUGACGCUGAGGAGCGAAAGCGUGGGGAGCGAACAGGAUUAGAUACCCUGGUAGUCCACGCCGUAAACGAUGAGUGCUAAGUGUUAGGGGGUUUCCGCCCUUUAGUGCUGCAGCUAACGCAUUAAGCACUCCGCCUGGGGAGUACGGUCGCAGGACUGAAACUCAAGGAAAUUGACGGGGGGCCGCACAGCGGUGGAGCAUGUGGUU